Molecule: ribosomal RNA, 425 nt
Filed under: uncultured bacterium
Lineage: Bacteria
Description: bacterial SSU rRNA
Rfam family: Bacterial small subunit ribosomal RNA
Source: RNAcentral
UGGGGAAUUGUUCGCAAUGGGCGCAAGCCUGACGACGCAACGCCGCGUGGAGGAUGAAGGUCUUCGGAUUGUAAACUCCUGUUGCCCGGGACAAAUGGCUCCGACCUAACACGUCGGAGUGUGACGGUACCCGUAGAAUAAGCCCCGGCUGACUUCGUGCCAGCAGCCGCGGUAAUACGAAGGGGGCUAGCGUUGCUCGGAAUUACUGGGCGUAAAGCGCACGUAGGCGGCUCUUUAAGUCGGGGGUGAAAUCCUGGAGCUCAACUCCAGAACUGCCUUCGAUACUGUAGAGCUUGAGUUCGGGAGAGGUGAGUGGAACUGCGAGUGUAGAGGUGAAAUUCGUAGAUAUUCGCAAGAACACCAGUGGCGAAGGCGGCUCACUGGCCCGAUACUGACGCUGAGGUGCGAAAGCGUGGGGAGCAAAC